AUUCAAAGAAAAAAUCAACCAAGCAGCAUACAUGAUGUGGGAGACAUGAGGGGCUCAAUAAUUCAACAGUGUUUUCCUCUAUAGCUCUUUCCAGAAUGGCAUGCAGUUCAACCUCUUCUUGCAGCUGCUUUCGUAAUCUUUGUACCUGUUUCAAUAACAGUUACAUAAGAAUGGAAGAGCUCCUUUAUGCUAGCUACAAUAUUUAGCUCUACAAUAUUUAUUUUGGGUUCUUCCAGUGUCUAUUGAUCUAAGAAAACGUCAUAACAGGAGAGAAUCAGCUCUGGUAACUAUGGUCUAUUUACCUGGUUUAAAUGCCUCAAUAAUGAAUGACAGAUCUAUAAAUAAUAUAUACUCAAUCAGUGUAGAGAACUACAUAAUGAGGGCAAUAACCAAAAGUGCCUUCUGGCAACUUGCUUCCUUAUGUCAUAUCCAAAAGGCAAUGCAAUCAGUGAACAGUUAUACAGUGGGGCUCCUAAGUUUUAUGUUGGAGGAGCUCACAUCUCUCUCAAGUUGAAAUCUGGUACAAUAAGAAGCAUUGCUUUUCUCACAGGAUCCAGGACUUCUAGCCUCCCCACUGAGAUUACUCCCCUGCACAAAUUAGCACAUUUAGAGCAAAAAAAUAAAGGAUAAUUUCAAAACUAAAAGGGGAAAAAGAUGUGUUAGAACUACUAAUGGAAGAUAUGCCAAAAAAUGCGCCCACCAAUGUCUCAUUUUGAACUGAUUCAUGGAAAGAGCCAUUCAAUCUAUCAGAAUUGUGCCAGUUGGCCACAAAAAACUAGUACUCGAUCAAGGGUACAAGAAUGAACCCCAAAAAUUUAAGGAAAAUUUUUUGUGAAGAUAAAACUUCAACCAGAUAAACAUGAGAAUAAACUAAAUGAAUUCAAAUAUGGAAAAAAAAAAACCAAAUGCAAGCAUGAAGAAGAAAAUCAGAGAACUACUAACACAAAUUAAAGCAGAUACUUGUGAAUUCAAAAACAAGCCAAAAGCAACUCACCUCCAACUGAAUUUCUGGAUCGCAAAGGCUAAUUUCAUGAGAUGAGCAGUUUGAUGUACAACCACUUCUGCAUAUAAUCCCGUCGGACAGUGAGAAGGUAGAGCAUUGCAAAAGACCAAGGGUAAAAAGCAACAGAUGGAGAAGAAAAACGAUGGUGCUGCCUUACUGACUCAAAGCAGAUUGCAUCACUGGCAAGUCACACAUGGUGUAAUAAUAGAGUUUGGCAUUUAUCAACUAACAGCCUGCAAAACCCCAUAUAUUCAUCUAGCUAUUUCCUUGUGAAAACAAGCAGGAAAAAAAAAAUCCCAGAAUUAGAUUACCAUAAAAAAAUUAGAAUACUGUUAAUUGGGAAAUCUAAUUGGGGUUCGCCAUUAAUAAUCUUAGUAUAAGUGAAAUGCAGGUCAUAGUGAGAUAAAGUACUAGAGAAAGCACCGCGCCACCUGUGAACAUGUAAUAUAGACAAACAAAACUUAAUGAAUGCCCAGCUACCAGUCAUUUUCAAUACAACCAUACAAACAAAAUUAGGACCCUUAUGAGCUCAAAAAGUUUGGCUUCUGAUGCAAGACAUACAACUAACAGAUAUAGAUAGGAAAACUGUCGAAAAAGAAUAUGAAUGAAAAAUUGACACAUAAUUUGCAAUUUGUUGAGUGAAUAUAACUGACAGUAAUUAUUUACAUUUUCAGUUCAUAAAAGUUAGAGCAAAAGAUAGAGCAAAGGGAAAAAAAGCAAAGUAAAAAUCUCUCAAUAUUAUGAGGAUAUGAUUGCAACCCAACAACAAGAAAAAAAAAAAAGGGCAAGUUCAAAAGAAUUAGGUAAGUCAAAAGGACAGUGCUCCAUUAACAUACCACAAAAAGCAUUAGAGGCUGGGUUUCAGAAGGACAAGUUGGUCCCUUUCACCACCCUUUUCCCUAACUUUUGCAGUGAAGAAAACAAUUGACGGAAAUAUGAAAAUGGAGAGAUUUCUCACACACACCUGAUUAUCCCAGAGACUGCAUGAGGCUUUGACCGAGAUUCUGUGAUGUGGAGUAAAGUACGUCAAAAGGGGAAAAGUAAGGAGAAAAACUGAGAGUUUACUUUGCAAAAGAAGUCCCAAUCUACAGAACAAUGAUAAAGAGAAUUAUACAAGAAAGAAGAAGCAAAAGAACAAUUCAAAGGACAGAUCUCGGUGGUCCCUUUUCCCCAAGAAAAUGUAAAAUUGCAUAAAGACCAUCAACAGCUGCAAUAACAGCUCACGGUUCUCAUUGCAUCUUUUUAACCCUAAAAGACAAACAGAAAAAGACCCUUUUUCAAACUUCAAGAGCAGAGGGAAAGUGAGAUUUGAAUGCAAACCAAAACAAAAAAACAAAAAAAAAAUGUAAAGAGGUCAAAGGGUAUAAGAAUUUAGACACCACAAAAAGCCCAUUUCAGAGCAAGUUUCACCAUGAAAACAUUCAUCAAACUAAAGAUACUCCCAGCACCACAGCUUUCUUCAGAGGAAAAAAAGAAGAAGAAAAUUGAUAGAGACCCAAUGUCCCGAAACUGGUUCAGCUUCCCUUUCCCAGCUCUUUUUUCUCUUCCAAUCCUGAAUUAUUGAACUGGAUCUCCCUCUAAAAGUUCAAAUAUUCUCUCGUGACACAACAGAGAAAUGACAAAAGAAACAGUUGAACGGCUUCUCAAGCAAAUGACGACUCCUAUUUUAUUUAUAGUCUUGGUUGAUAUCAAACAAAGGAGAUGAUGAAAACAGGGAUUUCAAACAAAGGGAAGGGUAGAAUCAUGAAACCACUUGACCUGCUAGAAGCAUUAAAGAACUAUAUCCCCACUAAUAAAUUAGCGAAAGACAAAUGUUUUGAAAACAUUAUGAGCCGUUUGGUUUUACUUUUUUAUUUUUUCUUUAUGUUAACUUCAAAACUAAUUUGAUUUGAC
Molecule: long non-coding RNA, 2896 nt
Filed under: Carica papaya (papaya)
Lineage: Eukaryota; Viridiplantae; Streptophyta; Magnoliopsida; Brassicales; Caricaceae
Description: long non-coding RNA (CPAP_LNC002129)
Source: RNAcentral